This is a non-coding RNA of Oryza nivara, 167 nucleotides long. The record is from Rfam. Lineage: Eukaryota; Viridiplantae; Streptophyta; Magnoliopsida; Poales; Poaceae.
AAUAAGUGCUGCUUUGCACGGUUCAUAUCCAACGUUUGACCAUUCGUCUUAUUUGAAUUUUUUUAUAAUUAGUAUUUUCAAUGUUAUUAGAUGAUAAAACAUGAAUAAUACUUUAUGUGUGACUAUGACGAACGGUCAAACGUUGGAGACCAACGGCUGCACUUAUU